Molecule: RNA transcript, 5467 nt
Organism: Brachypodium distachyon (stiff brome)
Lineage: Eukaryota; Viridiplantae; Streptophyta; Magnoliopsida; Poales; Poaceae
Gene name: DEAD-box ATP-dependent RNA helicase FANCM
Exons: 22
Source: RefSeq, a predicted model, not a curated record
UCUCUUCCUCUCCCGGUCUCCCCUCGCCCUUUCUGAAACUCUCGCUUCCCCGCCCAAAUCCCCUCUUCCCUCCCAAAAUUCCCCCAAAUCCGCAAACCUUCGCGAGCAAGCGCCAAUGGCCGGAUCGCCGCCGUCUUACCACCCCGUCCUCGACGACGACGACGGAUUCGACUGGGAUGCGGCCGUGCGCGAGAUCGACAGCGCCUGCGCCCUCGCUGCCUCGGCCUCCACGGCCCCCGCCGCCGUAUCGACCUCGGCGCCACCCGCCCAGCCCUGGGCGGCCGCUCCCUCGUGGACGGCGCCGCUCCACGUCCCCUCGGCGGCGGCGGCGGCGCCGUUCCCCGGGCCUGCCGUAGGCGGCACGCGGCAGUCGACGCUCCACCGCUUCGUCGACUCCUUCACCAGGAGGCAGGCCUCGAAAGAGAACCUGCCCCCUGCGCCGGUGGUUCCCGCGGCGGCGCCCGCUGGCGGAGGGGCGCGCUUUCCGGAGAGCUCUGACGUGGGGUGCUCAGGGAGGGCGGGCGAGGACGUGGCCGUGGAGGGGUCCUGCGCCGUGGCUCUCGACCAUGAGGCGGUGCAGACGUGGAUCUAUCCAACUAAUGUAGAAGUCCGAGAGUAUCAACAAUAUAUCGUCCAAAAGGCCUUGUUUACAAAUACACUAGUGGCUUUGCCAACUGGACUUGGCAAAACUUUUAUUGCUGCAGUAGUGAUGUAUAACUAUUUUAGAUGGUUCCCUGAAGGUAAAAUAGUAUUUACCGCCCCUUCACGCCCGCUUGUUACUCAGCAAAUUGAGGCAUGUCAUAAUACAGUGGGUAUACCACAGGAGUGGGCGAUUGAUAUGAAAGGGAAUCUAAGCCCUGAGAAGCGAACAAGUUUUUGGAAGUCUAAAAGAGUGUUCUUCGUCACUCCACAGAUUCUUGAGAAUGAUAUACGAUCUGGUAUAUGCAUGGUGAAACAACUGGUUUGCUUGGUGAUAGAUGAAGCUCAUAGAGCUUCUGGAAAUCAUUCUUACUGUAGUGCUGUCCGUGAGUUGGUGGCAUCAAAUGUACCAUUAAGAAUUUUAGCUUUGACUGCUACACCAGGAUCAAAGCAUCCAGAUAUUCAAGGUGUUAUCAACAAUUUACACAUAUCAGAGUUGAUUCAUCGUGACGAAAGUGAUCCUGAAGUCCAACGAUAUGUUAACACACGCACAGUUGAUCUCGUAAAGGUUCCUGUUGGCAGUGAUACAGCUCAAAUCAAUGAGAUGCUUUUAGAAAUUAUACGUCCACAUAUUGCCCAACUGCGUGCUGCUGGGGUGAUUGACAAUAGGGAUGCUUCAAAUUGGACCCCACAUCAACUGCACAUUUUAAAGGAGAAAUUCAACCAAGCACCCCUACCAAAUCUUCCCUUGGAAAAGAAAAAAGAAAUUCGCAGAUCUUUUGCGGCUGUUGUCUCACUUUGUCGUAUAAGUAAAUUGCUAUUGAGCCAUGGAAUCAAGCCAGCACAUCAGUCGAUUGAAGCUACAUGGAGUGAAGGGGCGUGGAAUUUGUUUUCAAGGAAUGAAGUCUUCAUAAAAGCAAAGGAAAUGAUGGGGAGCAUCGUGGGAAAGGGUGUGCCUAGUCCAAAAGUGCAUAAAUUGGUAGAAGUGUUACUCGAUCACUUCCACAAAAAGAAUCCAAAGGACUCAAGGGUGAUAAUAUUUUCACAUUACCGGGAAAGUGUCAAAGAAAUAUUGGGUGCACUGAGUGAUAGUGGUACCGGAAUUUUCAGACCUGCUCAAUUCAUCGGUCAAACCUCUACAGGUGACAGGCUGAAGGGGCAGACACAGAAAAUGCAGCAGGCUAUUUUACAGAAAUUUCGGUCCGGGGAAUACAAUAUUUUGGUGGCAACAUCAAUUGGUGAGGAAGGACUAGAUAUUAUGGAGGUUGAUCUUGUGAUCUGUUUCGAUGCCAAUGUCUCUCCAUUAAGAAUGAUUCAGCGAAUGGGAAGGACUGGGCGGAAGCAUGAAGGGCGAGUUGUGGUUCUGGCUUGUGAAGGGCAGGAGUUGCAAGGGUACACAAGGAAACAAGGAAGUACUCGGACGAUGAAGAAUCUAUUACGUAAACGUGACAAAUUUGAUUACCAUGCUAGUCCUAGGAUGGUUCCACAUGUCUAUAAACCAGAAGUUAAAUAUGUUAAAUUGUCAAUAGAGAAGUAUGUUCCUCACUCAAAGAAAAUAAAAGUCGAUGCUAGUUGUGUAUCUCCAAUUUUGAAUAAGUUGUCAGAGGAAGACGGUCAAUUGAUUGCUCGGUACUUCAUUGCAUGCAAAGAGGAUAUUUGGAAGCCAUCUCUUGUUGCAUUUCCUAGUUUUCAGGUUUCUCCAUGCGAUAUCUAUAAAGUACCCCAUUCAUUUCGAACCACAGAUAUGCUAGUUGAUGCUAUGCAACAACUUCAAGAUCUUUCUUUCUCUACAACAAAGAAUACCUAUGUUCAAUGUGGAAGCCCUUUACGAGAAUCUGCUGAUGUAGCAACGGUGAAGGACCAGGCACCGGAAGUGGAAUGUCCUUACUUUUCAUCUGGAGAAGUGGCAUUGAGUAAAAGUGUCUGUGUGCCAAGUUCUCCGGUCAACAAAUAUCCUCUCCACUCUUUCUUCAGUGGAGAUUAUGUAACUGUGGAUGUUGGAGGCUUCGUGUCAAUUACCUUUGUACCUGCCCUGCCGAGAUCAGCUGAAAUCAAUAAGGACAAAACAAACAUAAAUUGGCAACAGAAAGUUCAGAACAAGACCACUCCUUUCAGUGGUCCAACAACAGAUGGUGCUUAUUCAAGAAAUUUGAUAUUUGUAACUAAUGCAUCCAGUUUAGCCCCUCAUUCCCCAGAAUAUUCCAAACAUGACCAUGAUAAACAUAACAUCCACCCUGGAUCUCCAUCUAACACAUUUACAAGCCCAAGAGAAAAAUGGGACUCGCCAUGCAAUACUAAACCAGGGAGCCCAGUUUUGUCAGUUCAACAAGAUAGUGAGGAACUUAGUCCCAGGUUAACCCAUUAUAUUGAAGAAGGAAUUGUUCCCGAGUCUCCAAUCCUCGAUGUUAACCACCAGCAAUUAGAAAUAGACAGUGCUGCUAAUGCUUGUUUUAUUCCUAAGGUUUGUUCUUCGAAGACACACGGUCAGGGAGUUCAGACCAAUGGUUCAGGAUGCCAGAACGGACCAUUGAGCUUUUGGAAGAAAGGUCAAAUUUCUGCUGGGGUCACUGAAUUUCCAAGUUCGUCCAGAGAUGAUGUCCUAGAUAAGAUUCAAGCAAGGACGGAAGAGCCAAUGUGUCCUUCAAAUGCGAAAAUGUGUAGUCCUGCUGCUCAUACUCCUACAGCAAAUCUACUGUGUGAUAGUUUAUCUGAUGAGUGGCAGGUUAAUUCAGUAGUAGGGGAUACAUCAGGGUCAGUACAGCAAGCACCCAAGUACAGAAGACUCUGCAAAUUUGGUGACAAGAUCAAGAGAGUUUCCUCAGUGUCUUUGAAUAACAGAUAUGAUAGAUUUGUUGAAGGACAAUACGAUCUUGCAAAUAAAACUAUGCCCAACCAAAUGGAGCAUGCUAUUGGAAACAAAGGGAAGGCCAAGAGGCGUCUGGAUAUAUACAUCGAUGAGGAAGUCGAGGUGUCCGAAGAUGCUAAUAUUUCAGUGGAUGAGGAUGAUGGUCAGAGUGACGACAAAUACGAAGAUAGCUUUAUUGAUGAUCAGACAACUCCUACAGGCCAAUUCACCCAGAGUGAACAAGGUGGUCAAAACACUGGUGACAUGAUGGCCUUCUAUAGGCGAUCACUACUUACUCAGUCCACAGUAGUUCUGCCAUCAAGAUACCAAGAUGUCUCUGACAAUUCUGCUUAUAGAGCUGGAAGUUCGAGCUGUUCAUCUGGGAACUUGCACAAUCCUAUUGAGACUCCACGAGGGAUUCCUCAAACACAUGAUACCACUGGCCCAAGUCCUCUAGGCUCCAUGGAGAGAGCUAGUUCGAUAAAGGAACAGGGUGAAGCAAGUGUGAUCAAUUGUGAAUCAACCACCAAAUUAGACAGCAGAAAGAGAAAGCUAAGCUUCCAGCAAGCUGUCUCAAUUCCUGUCAUAAAUCUUGAACCGGAACCAGAACUGGAACCGGCACCACCUUCUGCACAUCUUACUACUGGAGUCAAUAAUGACAUAUACUGGGACGACGAUGCUUUCUUUGAGAGCCUUGACUUCGAUGCAAUCGAAGCACAAGCGACCGAGCAACUGAGACUCCAGAAAGCACAAUCAGCACAGAAACCAGCAGAAACUAAGCGAGCAUCUGAUCUGAGCUUCCCACCUCCAUCAUUUGAUCUUGGGUUCUGACAGCCCAUGUUGGUGAGCUGCCAUUCGGAAUAUGUUCAUGUAGCUGUGCCACCAGAUUAUCCAGGAUCAUGGUCACAAACCGUGACGGCAAAUCAGUCUGUUACGUUGACCUUUUCCACCCAAAUGUUCUGACUUAAAGCACAUGACAGCAGGCUUCAAGACAUUCAGACAUGCCUGGAGUGCUGCUGGCAAGACUUCUUCCUGGCGUAUUUAUGAGGAAGCCUGGAAGAUCAGACAGUGGCAAAUGUUAAGAGGUGUGUGUGGCAGUUAUGUAUCAUUUCGUCCAGAAUUGUGUACCAUGUGCAACAGCAUGUCCCUAAAUAUCUUCUGAUACAGAAGUGCUUAGCUGUGUCCAUAUAUACACCAGUUGUCCAGUUAGAAACUUGGAGCUCAGUGAUAGCUUAGCCAUGCAGUGAAAAGUGGCUACCUUUGCUCAACCAAGUGAUUCUGCAUGGCUGCAAGGUAGAUAGAAAGUGUGAGUGGCUGCUGCGUUGGUGCCUGGUAGCUUUCUCCAAGCAAAGAGGGAAAUUAUUCCGAAUCUGUCACAUCCACUGCUCAGUACACACAGCUUCCUCGCCCCAGUGUGAACUGGGAGAUUCUGAGCACAGCAGUCAUUUUCCUUGACGAAAACAGACAGGAGCUGUGCUGAGUGACUGAGUACUCCGGAAGAUAGCCGUGCCAGUGACUUAUCCACGCUGGAGGCAUCGUGAAACGGCUGGAGGGAUGGGUGGUUUUGGCGACUUGUUAAGAGUGGAUGGUGAGACGAUUUGCUGGAGCGGGUCGCGAUAAGGAUGCAAUUAGGAUCCUGGUUGUGUCCCGUUUAUAGGCCAAUUUGCAAGUUCAAAUGUUUUUUUGCUCAAAAUUUGAAAGAUUUGGAGGUUGUUCUAGAACAGGACGUAUGCUGGAUACUGUUUGCGUCGCUAGGUCGCGGCAUGGUCUUUUUCAUCAACUGCCUGUCGGUCUCCAGUGUUCGUGUGUGCAACGGUUUCUGCCUGGCCAUCUAGUUUGGUAUUUGGGCAUUCGUGCAUUUUGAGAGAUUAUCUUUUUAUAUCAGUAUAUUCCGAUGUUAGAACAAUAGUUGUCCUUUUAGGGCACGUAAAUAGAUAUGGAGAGAUAAGAGGAGAAAGUAUAUAGUCGAUCGGUGUAUUGCUA